Molecule: ribosomal RNA, 460 nt
Filed under: uncultured bacterium
Lineage: Bacteria
Description: bacterial SSU rRNA
Rfam family: Bacterial small subunit ribosomal RNA
Source: RNAcentral
CUACGGGAGGCAGCAGUGGGGAAUUUUGCGCAAUGGGCGAAAGCCUGACGCAGCGACGCCGCGUGGAGGAUGAAGGCCCUUGGGUUGUAAACUCCUGUCAGGUGGGAAGAAAGAUCUUCGGUAAACAGCCGAGGAUUCUGACUGUACCACCGGAGGAAGCCCCGGCUAACUCUGUGCCAGCAGCCGCGGUAAUACAGAGGGGGCAAGCGUUGUUCGGAAUUAUUGGGCGUAAAGGGCGCGUAGGCGGCCAUCCAAGUCGGGUGUGAAAUCCCUCGGCUCAACCGAGGAACUGCACUCGAUACUGGUUGGCUCGAGUCCGGGAGGGGAUGGUGGAAUUCCCAGUGUAGCGGUGAAAUGCGUAGAUAUUGGGAAGAACACCGGUGGCGAAGGCGACCAUCUGGACCGGAACUGACGCUGAGGCGCGAAAGCCAGGGGAGCGAAUGGGAUUAGAUACCCCGGU